GCUUGUCUCAAAGAUUAAGCCAUGCAUGUCUAAGUAUAAAUCUUUUACUUUGAAACUGCGAACGGCUCAUUAUAUCAGUUAUAGUUUAUUUGAUAGUCCCUUACUACUUGGAUAACCGUAGUAAUUCUAGAGCUAAUACAUGCGUCAAUACCCUUCUGGGGUAGUAUUUAUUAGAUUGAAACCAACCGCUUCGGCGUGAUGUGGUGAUUCAUAAUAACUUUUGCGGAUCGCAUGGCCUUGCGCCGGCGAUGAAUCAUUCAAAUUUCUGCCCUAUCAACUUUCGAUGGUAAGGUAUUGGCCUACCAUGGUUACCACGGGUAACGGGGAAUUAGGGUUCGGUUCCGGAGAGGGCGCCUGAGAAAUGGCGACCACAUCCAAGGAAGGCAGCAGG
RNAcentral lists this ribosomal RNA (391 nucleotides) under Diatoma tenuis. RNAcentral's name for it is "partial small subunit ribosomal RNA". It matches the Rfam family "Eukaryotic small subunit ribosomal RNA", at positions 30 to 432 of the family's 1831-position model. Lineage: Eukaryota; Bacillariophyta; Fragilariophyceae; Tabellariales; Tabellariaceae. The record is from RNAcentral.